UACGUAGGUGGCAAGCGUUGUCCGGAUUUAUUGGGCGUAAAGCGCGCGUAGGCGGUUUUUUAAGUCUGAUGUGAAAGCCCACGGCUCAACCGUGGAGGUGCAUUUGAAACUGGGAAACUUGAGUGCAGAAGAGGAAAGUGGAAUUGCAUGUGUAGCGGUGAAAUGCAUAGAGAUAUGGAGGAACACCAGUUGCGAAGGCGGCUUUCUGGUCUGUAACUGACGCUGAUGCUCGAAAGCGUGGGGAUCAAACAGG
Molecule: ribosomal RNA, 253 nt
Filed under: uncultured bacterium
Lineage: Bacteria
Description: partial 16S ribosomal RNA
Rfam family: Bacterial small subunit ribosomal RNA
Source: RNAcentral